CCAAAAUAAGCUCCGGCCCAUCUAGAAGACGGUUCUCGUUGCUUCGUCUUCCUCGCUGCCACUGGGAACAUUUGAUUCGCAGGGUGUCCCCGUAACCCUAAUGUCCGCCAUCCACUCGUACAGAAAACGCUUGCCUGAGUCUGGGAAAUAGCCCUUGAUUUUUCCCGAAAAAUGGAAGAUCACAAGCUCAAUAGGAAACGAGGCCGAAAACCUAAAAAGCCAGUGGAUGAGACUAGUAUGGACUUCCAGUACAUCACUUCCGGCGGCGCCAGCCCCGCCGCUGUGGAUGAGACUAGUAUGGACUUCUAGUAGGGCUGCAGAUAGAUGCUGCCAUAAACUCUGGAAAUUCUGGUGGAGCUGCUUUUAAUAAUAAGGGGAAAUGUGUGGGCAUUGCUUUUCAAUCACUUAAACAUGAAGGUGGGGAGAACAUUGGUUAUGUCAUACCAACUACAGUUAUCAUGCACUUUAUUCAAGAUUAUGAGAGGAAUGGAGCAUAUACAGGAUUUCCAAUACUGGGUAUUGAGUGGCAGAAGAUGGAAAAUCCUGAUCUGCGGAUGUCAAUGGGCAUGGACUCUGACCAGAAAGGAGUUCUUAUUAAAAGAAUUGAACCUACAGCUUCAGAAUGUCAAGUUCUGAAGCCAUCUGAUGUCAUCCUUAGCUUUAAUGGGAUCAACAUUGCUAAUGAUGGAACAGUUCCAUUUAGGCAUGGGGAGCGUAUAUCUUUCAGUUAUCUUGUCUCUCAGAAAUAUACUGGGGAUAGAGCUCUAGUUGAAGUUCUCCGAAAUUCAAAGAUACUUGAGUUCAACAUUAAACUUGGAACUCAUAAAAGGCUUAUACCAGCACACAUCAAGGGCAGACCACCUUCUUACUAUAUUGUUGGUGGGUUUGUAUUUACAGCUGUUUCUCUUCCAUAUUUGCGUUCUGAGUAUGGAAGAGAUUAUGAAUUUGAUGCUCCGGUCAAACUGUUGGAUAAACUUCUACAUGCAAUGGCACAAUCUGCUGAUGAACAGCUGCUUGUUGUUUCUCAGGCGUUUUUUCCCCUCCUCUCUAAUGUGCUUGCAGCUGACAUCAAUGUUGGAUACGAGGACAUAGUGAAUACUCAGGUUUUGGCAUUCAAUGGGAAGCCCAUCAAGAAUCUGAAAACCUUGGCUCGAAUGGUGGAGAGCUGUGAUGAAGAAUUUUUGACAUUUGAGCUGGAGUAUCAACAGAUUGCAAUCCUGCGGACUAAGGCCGCAAAAGAAGCAACUUUAGAUAUUCUCAAGACGUAUUGUAUUCCAUCAACCAUGUCGAGGAUCUCAAGAGGUGAAGCAGAUUUUACGUGUUAAGGUUUUUGGGAUUCCAUUGCCAAUAGGGAAAAAGGAGGACACGUCCAUUUGUUUCAAAAUGCCCUUCUUGUUUCAUACACGGUUAUGCCAUCCAAUCACAUGUUAGUUAAAAAGUUGCAUCACGUGAUCAUAUAAGCCCACUCACAAGCCAAUGUAGUAUGUUGAAAGAUAAAUGCCAAUCAUCUACCUACCCGCUCUGCUGAUACUGAGAUCUGAGUUGCCAGGCGGCCCGGUCUACAUUUCUUCAGUUUUUGCGGCUUCGCAGCAGAGGGAUUCUUUCAUCAGAUGAGGGCGACGAUUCCACGUCGCCAGUUUCACAACCCUCAGCCAUGUCUUCUUUCGCCUUCCCCCACAUUACAGUGUAAAACCCGACAGAUAUUAUCGUUGCUCCAACCAUGCUGCAACAAAGGAAAAGGGAAUGAAUGAUAAUUAAGGCCAAAUGAUCGAUCUCACGCAUUAUGGAGAUGCCUGAUGCGUCUCUUCACAAUGGCAAAUCAAAUCAGCCGAUAUGUGGAGUAAAAUUACCUUCCCAGAUACAGAGUGUCGCCCAGGAAGAUGACCCCCAUGGCCACUGCAAUGGCGAUGGACAGUGGCUUGAACAUGGCGACAUAGACCGGCCCUCGGACUCGCAGCACCCAUGUGUGCACGGCAUUGUUCAAGAACGACCCGAAUAUGCCCUGCGCAAACACAGAAUCCACCACAUUCAGUCUAGCUAUUAAGUUAUGACCGCAGCGACAAGGUUCUUUCCUUCUUUGUCUACUGACCGAGCAUAAUACAGAGACCAAUGCUAUAUCAAAUCUGAUUCUCCAAGCGCUGGUAUUCGGCUCCGCGAUGACGCCGACGAUCGCUGCUAGGAUGCUAACGCACAAGUUGUAGAAGAAGACCACCGUCAGUUCAGCUGGGUACUCUUUCAUGAUCUGUGCCUGCUCAAAUGACAUUUACAAAGUCUCGCCAUAUUACAAACAUAGGAUAAGAGUUGAAAGGGAAGAGGCAGAGAAGAGGUACCUGAACAAUGUACCACAUUGGUACGAGAAGAUACUCUGUCGUGAGGCAAAGUCCGCCGAUGACCCAUUUGGACGGCGGCAAGCUGGGCUGACGAAGUGAAACAGAGGGCGGCAGACCCGGCGGUGCGAUCGCCGGACCUUUGUAAAGAGUGACUACAAAUGCGCCUGAAAUUGAUACUACGGUGCCUAUGAUUUUAGCUCGACUGGUGGAGCUUCUGAGCGCUAGCUUCUCCAUCCUAUUAUUUUAAAGCAGCCCCCACCCCCCCCCAAAAAAAAAAAAAAAAAGCAUUAUUGGACGAGAAGAGAAACCCAGUCCAAGAAAGAUGAAAGAAACCAAGUACCCCACAUCGGAAAACAUAAAUAAAUUGUCUUGCUUCCAAAGCUUUUGUCUGAUUAGGGUAACACAAGUGGCUCCUUGAAUUGAACGCAGAGAGAGAGAGAGAGAGAGGCAUCACCUGAACAUGAGUGCAAGGAUGAAAGUGAAAGCGGGGACGAGGUUGCUUAUGGCUGAAGCCAGCGUGGGCGAGCUGUAGUUGAUUCCCGUGUAUCCCAUCACCUGCGACGUGGACCUGUUCACAACACUUGACUGCUCAGAAAACAAGGAUUCCAAUCUUACCCAUCUCUAAUUAUUUGAUCAAUAUUCAGACGAAAUCUGUGUUUGCUUGCUUGCUGGUUUCUUCAUACCCGAUGAGCCCAAGAAGGAGGAUUUUGCAUGCGACGGACAAGGUGACCGGAGGCAGCGUCCUUGAUCUGCAAAAUCAAAUUCAGAAGCACAAAAGAUAAAACAAAUAUGGGGGGAGAGAGAGAGAGAGAGAGAGACCUGGAGGAGAAGAAGGGGGAAGGGAGGAGGAGGAGAGCGGCGACUGCGUAGGAGUAGACGACGAAGACGUGGUGGCUCAUGCCCCUAACGGUGGCCGCUUUGAACAGCGUGUUCAGGCCGACGUUCAUGCACUCCAUUGUCACCAUCGCCGUCACCGGCAGCACCUCCCUGUACCAGUACUUUUCUCUGUCCAUUCUCUGAGUCUGUCUGUCUCUCUCUCUCUACACUUUCUGUUGCAGAUUGCUUUUAGAUGUUAA
Diospyros lotus (date-plum) is the source of this 3406-nucleotide RNA transcript. It is a transcript of the gene named protease Do-like 9, with no coding region annotated. The record is from RefSeq and is a predicted model, not a curated record. NCBI's taxonomy places the organism in Eukaryota, Viridiplantae, Streptophyta, Magnoliopsida, Ericales, Ebenaceae. The transcript is spliced from 10 exons.